Long non-coding RNA from Oreochromis aureus, 451 nucleotides. RefSeq lists it as uncharacterized. NCBI's taxonomy places the organism in Eukaryota, Metazoa, Chordata, Actinopteri, Cichliformes, Cichlidae. The record is from RefSeq and is a predicted model, not a curated record. The transcript is spliced from 3 exons.
GUGAGCAUUUCUCAGGUUUAAACUGUGACAGAAGAAGGUUACUGACCUUGGUUUGUUGUGCAGCUCAGCAGUGAGAUCAGAACUAAAGAGAAAUGACACUCAGGUUGAUUUGAGGUGAACAUAAAGAACAACUCCACACAAACAGCUUUAACAUCUGCGCCUCUAUCAGGUGCUUAAACACCGCAUCCAACAAUUUCUGGACUAAUUCUGUUGGUAUAAUAGUAUGCACACACUUUCAACCCUUUGUGCUCCUCAUAAAAAUUGGUUCAUGGGUAUAGAAGAGUAUGUUGUAUGUAAAACAUGAGACUAUACAAUGUCCACACAGCAACUCUAGCCACAAAAGUCAGAUGAAAGUCCUUCUUGAUAUGAAAUGACAGUGUAGAAAAUUUACAAAAUAUCCUCUACUUUUAAAUAACACAGUAAAGUCAUGUGUCCACUGUGCAGCUGUGUU